Molecule: ribosomal RNA, 874 nt
Filed under: uncultured beta proteobacterium
Lineage: Bacteria; Pseudomonadati; Pseudomonadota; Betaproteobacteria
Description: bacterial SSU rRNA
Rfam family: Bacterial small subunit ribosomal RNA
Source: RNAcentral
AGAGUUUGAUCCUGGCUCAGAUUGAACGCUGGCGGCAUGCUUUACACAUGCAAGUCGAACGGGGUGGCGGGGCAACUCGCCAUUCAGUGGCGAACGGGUGAGUAAUGCAUCGGAACGUGUCCCGUAGUGGGGGAUAACGCCGCGAAAGCGGCGCUAUACCGCAUACGCUCUGAGGAGGAAAGCAGGGGACCUGUGAGGGCCUUGUGCUAGGGGAGCGGCCGAUGUCCGAUUAGCUAGUUGGUGGGGUAACGGCCUACCAAGGCUGCGAUCGGUAGCUGGUCUGAGAGGAUGAUCAGCCACACUGGGACUGAGACACGGCCCAGACUCCUACGGGAGGCAGCAGUGGGGAAUUUUGGACAAUGGGGGCAACCCUGAUCCAGCCAUGCCGCGUGCGGGAAGAAGGCCUUCGGGUUGUAAACCGCUUUUAGCCGGGAAGAAAAGGCAGAGGCUAAUACCUUCUGUUUUUGACGGUACCGGCGGAAUAAGCACCGGCUAACUACGUGCCAGCAGCCGCGGUAAUACGUAGGGUGCGAGCGUUAAUCGGAAUUACUGGGCGUAAAGCGUGCGCAGGCGGUUCGUUGUGUCGGUGGUGAAAGCCCCGGGCUCAACCUGGGAAUGGCCAUGGAAACUGGCGAACUGGAGUGUGGCAGAGGGGGGUGGAAUUCCGCGUGUAGCAGUGAAAUGCGUAGAGAUGCGGAGGAACACCGAUGGCGAAGGCAGCCCCCUGGGCUAACACUGACGCUCAGGCACGAAAGCGUGGGGGAGCAAACAGGAUUAGAUACCCUGGUAGUCCACGCCCUAAACGAUGUCAACUAGGUGUUCGGGAAGCGAUUUCUGGGUACCGUAGCUAACGCGUGAAGUUGACCAAUCACUA